ACUAAAAAAAACAAAAAAAAGGAACGGAAAAGGGGAACAAAAAGUUGAAAGCAGCAAAGAAAAGCUGCGCAGCCUUUAGGAGGACCCCACCCCCUUGCACAUCGUCUUCUUCACGACCCCCACCCCCUCGCGUCUAUCUUCUUCAACCAAACCACAGACCCCUCCCCCACCUAAAAAUCCAUUUUUCUUCCACUUUCGAGCUCACCGGAACAAGCACACUCAUACACAAAAUGGAAAAGAGGACGACAAAUUACAAAGACGGAGGGGCCUAUUAAACAAUUCAAAAUCUUUUUUUAAGCUAAAUUUGAGCUGGGGUGUUGGAACGGUAGCGGUCGUGUUCGAGUUCGAACAGGUGCGGUCGAGUUUCAUUGAGACUCCAACGAAGCAUCUCAUUUUUCUGUGUCCGAGGUCGACGCCGGUUCGAGAUUUCCGUCAUAGUUUUCAGCUUACGGUCUGUUCGUGUUCAGCCAUAGUGUCGCCUUCUUCUUGUAACAAGUUGGAAGAUCUUAAUAUAUCGAAAGGCUUCAAAGAUAGAGAACCUGACCCACAAGGUAUACAUUUCAACUGUCCUGGACCAGUCUGAAAAUCAGCAAAUGAAUGAACGACCACAGAGAGGAACACAACAGGGACCUGGUGACCUGGUCCCUUAGGAUUCUCCGACAGAAGUACAAGUCAGUGACUUUCCGCAAUCAUUAUAAAGAGGAACAAAACAAGGACCUGAUCCCUUAGGGUUCUCUGGCAGAAGUACAAGUCAACUGAACAGCUGGAACACAACAGCAGAAAAUGACUAUCUCACAACUGUUACAGAAUAGGAACACAACUGGGACCUGGGGUGUUAGUUUUCUCUAACAUAAGUACAAGUCAACUAUCCAGUUGGAACACAACUGCACAGAAGUGACUGUGCAGACAGUACAACAGUCACUUCUCAUUGGGAAGAAGCGUGUAUCAAGAAUUGACAUCACUAUCUAUUGUGAUGUCUUUUAUGAUAUAAUAACCUGGUGCAAGGAACAACAUUUUUGUGCA
Molecule: non-coding RNA, 1023 nt
Organism: Nicotiana tabacum (common tobacco)
Lineage: Eukaryota; Viridiplantae; Streptophyta; Magnoliopsida; Solanales; Solanaceae
Source: RefSeq, a predicted model, not a curated record